UACAGAGGCCUCGAGCGUUAGGCGGAAUCACUGGGCUUAAAGCGUGUGUAGGUGGAUGCCUAAGUACCUUGUGAAAUCCCAUGGCUUAACCAUGGAAUUGCUUGGUAUACUGGGUGUCUUGAGCCACUCAGGGGCGAGCGGAACAAACGGUGGAGCGGUGAAAUGCGUAGAUAUCGUUUGGAACGCCAAUGGUGAAAACAGCUCGCUGGGGGUGCGCUGACUCUGAGACACGAAAGCCAGGGGAGCAAACGGG
RNAcentral lists this ribosomal RNA (253 nucleotides) under uncultured bacterium. RNAcentral describes it as "partial 16S ribosomal RNA". It matches the Rfam family "Bacterial small subunit ribosomal RNA", at positions 524 to 776 of the family's 1533-position model. The record is from RNAcentral.